Molecule: ribosomal RNA, 586 nt
Filed under: uncultured bacterium
Lineage: Bacteria
Description: bacterial SSU rRNA
Rfam family: Bacterial small subunit ribosomal RNA
Source: RNAcentral
CCUACGGGAGGCAGGAGUGGGGAAUAUUGCACAAUGGGGGAAACCCUGAUGCAGCCAUGCCGCGUGUGUGAAGAAGGCCUUCGGGUUGUAAAGCACUUUCAGUUGUGAGGAAAAGUUAGUAGUUAAUACCUGCUAGCCGUGACGUUAACAACAGAAGAAGCACCGGCUAACUCCGUGCCAGCAGCCGCGGUAAUACGGAGGGUGCGAGCGUUAAUCGGAAUUACUGGGCGUAAAGCGCACGCAGGCGGUUUGUUAAGCUAGAUGUGAAAGCCCCGGGCUCAACCUGGGAUGGUCAUUUAGAACUGGCAGACUAGAGUCUUGGAGAGGGGAGUGGAAUUCCAGGUGUAGCGGUGAAAUGCGUAGAUAUCUGGAGGAACAUCAGUGGCGAAGGCGACUCCCUGGCCAAAGACUGACGCUCAUGUGCGAAAGUGUGGGUAGCGAACAGGAUUAGAUACCCUGGUAGUCCACACCGUAAACGCUGUCUACUAGCUGUGUGUGUCUUUAAGACGUGCGUAGCGAAGCUAACGCGCUAAGUAGACCGCCUGGGGAGUACGGCCGCAAGGUUAAAACUCAAAUGAAUUGACGG